GGCUGGUUAGCUCAGUUGGUUAGAGCAUGGUGCUAAUAAUGCCAAGGUCUUGGGUUUGAUACCUGUAUGGGCCA
Molecule: transfer RNA, 74 nt
Filed under: Neotoma lepida (desert woodrat)
Lineage: Eukaryota; Metazoa; Chordata; Mammalia; Rodentia; Cricetidae
Rfam family: tRNA
About the family: Transfer RNA (tRNA) molecules are approximately 80 nucleotides in length.
Source: Rfam by way of RNAcentral